GACGUACGCUGGCGGCGUGCUUAACACAUGCAAGUCGAACGGAAAGGCCCUGCUUUUGUGGGGUGCUCGAGUGGCGAACGGGUGAGUAACACGUGAGUAACCUGCCCUUGACUUUGGGAUAACUUCAGGAAACUGGGGCUAAUACCGGAUAGGAGCUCCUGCUGCAUGGUGGGGGUUGGAAAGUUUCGGCGGUUGGGGAUGGACUUGCGGCUUAUCAGCUUGUUGGUGGGGUAGUGGCUUACCAAGGCUUUGACGGGUAGCCGGCCUGAGAGGGUGACCGGCCACAUUGGGACUGAGAUACGGCCCAGACUCCUACGGGAGGCAGCAGUGGGGAAUAUUGCACAAUGGGCGGAAGCCUGAUGCAGCAACGCCGCGUGCGGGAUGACGGCCUUCGGGUUGUAAACCGCUUUCGCCUGUGACGAAGCGUGAGUGACGGUAAUGGGUAAAGAAGCACCGGCUAACUACGUG
RNAcentral lists this ribosomal RNA (468 nucleotides) under uncultured bacterium. Its description in RNAcentral is "partial 16S ribosomal RNA". It matches the Rfam family "Bacterial small subunit ribosomal RNA", at positions 28 to 507 of the family's 1533-position model. The record is from RNAcentral.